GAGAACGUGAAACCGUUAUAGUGGAAGCAGAUGGAGCCGACGUAUCCAGUGCGUAUUUAGCCGUUGUCGGGUGCAAUUUGUUGGCUGUUAAAGUUCUGAAAAGUCUUCGGCGAACAAUUGUUGUGCUCGGUGAGCGGUGCACUUACGCACAGAGUGCGCCGAAUCGGCUGGACUUGGCGUUCGAGGCGCGGCCAAGAGGACCUGACAGAAAUGGCAGGAAACCUGGGCAUCGAGCGGGCGACGCAUGAGUCUGGCUGCGUUGCAUAAGGCCGGCUGAAUCUGAAGCAGAUGGGGAGAGUCUGAACGUGUUCGGAAUGCGGCGCAUGCGUUUCGUUGCGGAGCGGGCAACUUUCCGUGUGUGUUUCUCAGAACGGUAUUCGGUGUCUAGUCGGUGACCCAUUUGACCCGUCUUGAAACACGGACCAAGGAGUUUAAGGUGUGCGCGAGUCAUUGGGGGAAAAACCCAGAGGCGAAAUGAAAGUGGGACACUUGGUGUCUGUGAUGCGAUCCGUGUGCGACGAUUUUUUGUGCGUGCGGAGCAGCGUCGACCCAUGACCAGAACUUGUUCUGUUGUGGAGUCUGAGCGUACGCUUUGAGACCCGAAAGAUGGUGAACUAUGCCUGAACAGGACGAAGUCAGAGGAAACUCUGAUGGAAGUCCGAAGCGGUUCUGACGUGCAAAUCGAUCGUCUGAUUUGGGUAUAGGGGCGCAAGACUAAUCGAACCAUCUA
Molecule: ribosomal RNA, 730 nt
Filed under: Ficophagus sp. 7 NK-2021
Lineage: Eukaryota; Metazoa; Nematoda; Chromadorea; Rhabditida; Aphelenchoididae
Description: partial 28S ribosomal RNA
Rfam family: Eukaryotic large subunit ribosomal RNA
Source: RNAcentral